This 332-nucleotide ribosomal RNA is filed under the name uncultured bacterium. RNAcentral's name for it is "bacterial SSU rRNA". It matches the Rfam family "Bacterial small subunit ribosomal RNA", at positions 568 to 898 of the family's 1533-position model. The record is from RNAcentral.
CGCGUAGGCGGCCUGCUCAGUCGGCUGUGAAAUCGCUGGGCUCAACCCAGCAACUGCAGUCGAUACUGGCGGGCUCGAGUCCGGGAGAGGGAAGCGGAAUUCCUGGUGUAGCGGUGGAAUGCGUAGAUAUCAGGAAGAACACCGGUGGCGAAGGCGGCUUCCUGGACCGGUACUGACGCUGAGGCGCGAAAGCUAGGGGAGCGAACGGGAUUAGAUACCCCGGUAGUCCUAGCCGUAAACGAUGGUCACUAGGUGUUGCGGGUAUCGACCCCUGCAGUGCCGUAGCUAACGCAUUAAGUGACCCGCCUGGGGAGUACGGCCGCAAGGUUGAA